UUUAAUAAUAGUUUCGCAUCUGUUACACAUCCAAACGGAUUCGUUGUUAAGAGGAUCACAAGGUAAUAAAAUACCAGAACAAUAAUCAGCUGCACAGUAUAGUGCACUUAAAAAUGAUCCACAUUCCUGAAGGAUCCUUGCAUCUAUUACAUCUGCAAGAGAAAUUCUUAGUAACGCUUAAAACCUGUCUUCUUAAUGUGGUAUCCCAAAAGAGAUCGAUAUAAGUCAUUGUAAUUUCUUCCCCCGCGGAAAUGGAACGGACAGCUAUGACAUAAAGCUGUUGCUGCGAAUCAUAAUGAUGCCUUGUAUUAGAUUAAAUGAUACGACUUGCCUUUCUUAACAAUAUACAAUACGUUUGUUAUACUCAUAUUGUCAUACCUCACAAUCAUUAUUCAAGUUUUGAUGACAUUGGAAUAUAGCCAAGACAUCGCGUUGCUCAUCAUCAAGCGAAAUCGCUCUUACUGCCAAAAGUGCACGUAAUAAAUCCAUAGACCAAGUCGAACCGCAAGUUGGCCCUAAUUUUCUCAAAUAUUCACACUCAUGUUCCAUGUGUUUCUUUGAAUCCUCGCAUAUUUGAGAACAUAUAGGAAGACCGCAUCCGCGAUCGCAAGGGAAAAGAGGACAUUCGUUUUUGUAACAAGAUACGCAUAAUGGCAAAUACUUUUCGGAAUUUCGUGGUGAUAUUAAGAGAGCAUUGUCUACAAAUAUUAAUUCUCCUGCCUCGAUAUCACGAGUUGCAAAUAGUCCACGGCCUUCGAAAGAUGAAUAACCGACGGUCCAGGCCUGUGAUUCAUCGGACAAUAAUGCAUGUCUUUUUAAAUGAUUUUUCAAGACGAUCUCUGUCUUCUUUGGUUCCAUGACACUCAUGAUACGAACUUUGAAAAAGGUUGAAAAAAAUGAAUGAACAAUUCGAGUCACGGUUCUUACUCGAAGGGGUGCAAUGAAACUAAAAUCUAUAUCGCGUUUAGUGUGAUAUAACGAUUAUCAUCAUUAAAUCACACAUCUGACAAAAGUUAUUGGAAUUCU
Molecule: long non-coding RNA, 1026 nt
Organism: Vespa mandarinia (Asian giant hornet)
Lineage: Eukaryota; Metazoa; Arthropoda; Insecta; Hymenoptera; Vespidae
Gene: eys
Source: RefSeq, a predicted model, not a curated record